CAAUAGCGUAUAUUAAAGUUGUUGCAGUUAGAAAGCUCGUAGUUGGAUUUCUGGCAGGAGGUGCUCGGCGCGCGUGGCCUUUGUCGCGUGUUUUGCUGGGGUGUCUUCGCCAUCCACCUGGAGAGCAGUGCUUCCCUUCACUGGGCGGUGCUGUAGUUGUGUGGUCCCUCACGGGGCUGCUCCUCUUUCCAGGUCGUUUACUUUGAAAAAAUUAGAGUGUUCAAAGCAGGCAUUGAUAGCUUCUGAAUACAUUAGCAUGGAAUAAUAAGAUAGGACUUUGGUUCUAUUUUGUUGGUACUGAGAGCCGAAGUAAUGAUUGAUAGGGAUAGUUGGGGGUGCUUGUAUUCAACGGCCAGAGGUGAAAUUCUUGGAUUCGUUGAAGACAAACUAAUGCGAAAGCAUUCACCAAGGAUGUCUUCUUUAA
Molecule: ribosomal RNA, 424 nt
Filed under: uncultured eukaryote
Lineage: Eukaryota
Description: partial 18S ribosomal RNA
Rfam family: Eukaryotic small subunit ribosomal RNA
Source: RNAcentral